Molecule: small nuclear RNA, 164 nt
Filed under: Colobus angolensis palliatus
Lineage: Eukaryota; Metazoa; Chordata; Mammalia; Primates; Cercopithecidae
Description: U1 spliceosomal RNA (ENSCANG00000000373.1)
Rfam family: U1 spliceosomal RNA
About the family: U1 is a small nuclear RNA (snRNA) component of the spliceosome (involved in pre-mRNA splicing).
Source: Rfam by way of RNAcentral
AUACUUAGCUGGCAGAGGAGAUACCAUGAUCACGAAGGUGGUUUUCCCAGGGCAGGGCUUAUCCAUUGCACUCAGGAUGUGCUGACCCCUGCAAUUUUCCCAAAUGUGGGAAACUCAACUGCAUAACUUGUGAUAGUGAGAGACUGCGUUCUCACUUUCCCCUA